RNAcentral lists this ribosomal RNA (496 nucleotides) under uncultured bacterium. Its description in RNAcentral is "partial 16S ribosomal RNA". It matches the Rfam family "Bacterial small subunit ribosomal RNA", at positions 28 to 506 of the family's 1533-position model. The record is from RNAcentral.
GAUGAACGCUGGCGGCGUGCCUAAUACAUGCAAGUCGAGCGAACGGACGAGAAGCUUGCUUCUCUGAUGUUAGCGGCGGACGGGUGAGUAACACGUGGAUAACCUACCUAUAAGACUGGGAUAACUUCGGGAAACCGGAGCUAAUACCGGAUAAUAUUUUGAACCGCAUGGUUCAAAAGUGAAAGACGGUCUUGCUGUCACUUAUAGAUGGAUCCGCGCUGCAUUAGCUAGUUGGUAAGGUAACGGCUUACCAAGGCAACGAUGCAUAGCCGACCUGAGAGGGUGAUCGGCCACACUGGAACUGAGACACGGUCCAGACUCCUACGGGAGGCAGCAGUAGGGAAUCUUCCGCAAUGGGCGAAAGCCUGACGGAGCAACGCGGCGUGAGUGAUGAAGGUCUUCGGAUCGUAAAACUCUGUUAUUAGGGAAGAACAUAUGUGUAAGUAACUGUGCAAAUCUUGACGGUACCGAAUCAGAAAGCCACGGCUAACUACGU